Molecule: unclassified non-coding RNA, 240 nt
Filed under: soil metagenome
Description: partial contains 5.8S ribosomal RNA, internal transcribed spacer 2, and large subunit ribosomal RNA
Source: RNAcentral
AACGGUCUAUACCUGCGGUACCUGCGGAGGGAUCAUUAUAGAGUGGUAAACCCCCCGUAAAAGGGGGGGACCUCCUGUCCUUUGUAGGCUCUUUUUUAAAAGGGCUUUUUUUAAUUUUCUGCUUCGGUGGGGUUAUCCCACCGGAACAACCUCAAAACUCUUAUCAAAAAAUCGUUCUGUCUGAGAACCUUUUAUAAUAAAAAAAAACUUUCAGCAAUGGAUCUCUAGAUCGGAAGAGCA